This 441-nucleotide ribosomal RNA is filed under the name uncultured bacterium. RNAcentral describes it as "bacterial SSU rRNA". It matches the Rfam family "Bacterial small subunit ribosomal RNA", at positions 30 to 477 of the family's 1533-position model. The record is from RNAcentral.
AUUGAACGCUGGCGGCAUGCCUUACACAUGCAAGUCGAACGGCAGCGCGGGGCAACCUGGCGGCGAGUGGCGAACGGGUGAGUAAUAUAUCGGAACGUACCCAGAAGUGGGGGAUAACGUAGCGAAAGUUACGCUAAUACCGCAUACGCACUAAGGUGGAAAGUGGGGGAUCUUCGGACCUCAUGCUCAUGGAGUGGCCGAUAUCUGAUUAGCUAGUUGGUGAGGUAAAGGCUCACCAAGGCGACGAUCAGUAGCUGGUUUGAGAGAACGACCAGCCACACUGGAACUGAGACACGGUCCAGACUCCUACGGGAGGCAGCAGUGGGGAAUUUUGGACAAAUGGGGGGCAACCCUGAUCCAGCAAUGCCGCGUGAGUGAAGAAGGCCUGGUGUAAGACUCUUUGUUCAGGGAAGAAACGGUAGAGUUCUAAUAAAGACUUAG